Molecule: transfer RNA, 66 nt
Filed under: Camelus bactrianus (Bactrian camel)
Lineage: Eukaryota; Metazoa; Chordata; Mammalia; Artiodactyla; Camelidae
Also listed under: 2 other names
Rfam family: tRNA
About the family: Transfer RNA (tRNA) molecules are approximately 80 nucleotides in length. Their secondary structure includes four short double-helical elements and three loops (D, anti-codon, and T loops).
Source: Rfam by way of RNAcentral
AGUGGAAUGGCUGAGUAAGCUUUAGACUGUAAAUCCAAAGACAGAGGUUAAGCCCUCUUUUUGCCA